Molecule: long non-coding RNA, 445 nt
Organism: Frieseomelitta varia
Lineage: Eukaryota; Metazoa; Arthropoda; Insecta; Hymenoptera; Apidae
Exons: 2
Source: RefSeq, a predicted model, not a curated record
AGCGCGUACACGAGCGAGAGUGUAGUUUAGUCGCAGCCAGACAGACCAGUACGCCAGCCGAGUCCGCUGGCUACUCUCCGUCGUAUACGGGCUGUAUACGAUAUUUCGAAAGAACGUUUAGUAAUCGCGCGUAGAAGCAGCCGGUACAGAGUGCCGGACAGAUAUAGAAAUAAUAAUAAUCGUCGGGGGAUACUAAAGGCAGUAGUACGUGGUGAACGAGACGAGCGCACGAGGGAGAGGACAUGCUUUCCGCCCGAUAGAAGAAGGUCCCCGGCCACUGUUCCACCGGUUGAUAUCGAGUCCAGCUGACGCCCGUCCAGGUUGAACGUCGACUGUCGGCUGACCUUAACUCGAUCGACUCCUCCCGUGAAAGCCUCGAGAACGAGGAUCAAGCAACGUCAGUCGGAAUUAUCGUGACCUUUAUCGCGAGCACGCGAAGACAAAA